CAAAUCAAAACAGCCCCUGUUCUUCAUUUCCUAAAAAAAAAAAUGCCAGGGAAACCAUAAACCAAACAGAUUCAAAUAACCCAAAUCCAAACAGAAUCCACAGAAUGGGUCGAAGAGACCCAAAUCCAAUCAACUGCAAUGAAGAAGGGAUCAAUAAGCACCGAAAACUGAUAGGAAAUCACCGAUUAUUUCAGUUCCUCCCUGGAUUAGAUGGGAGAUACGACAAACUUUGUCGGGACAUUCUCAAGAAAGUUCCCGUUCCCUCAGUCAAGUCGGCGUUCUCAAAAGUGAGAAGGGAGGCCGCCCGACUACAAAACUUGCAGCCGGCAACCAACCGCUCCGACAUCGACGUCUCAUCAUCGGGAGGGGUCGGAGCCGGAAUCACCGCCACCCACCGCCCUACUCAGCGGCCUGAGGUCCGAC
RNAcentral lists this long non-coding RNA (423 nucleotides) under Salvia miltiorrhiza (redroot sage). Its description in RNAcentral is "long non-coding RNA (SMIL_LNC008089)". The record is from RNAcentral. Lineage: Eukaryota; Viridiplantae; Streptophyta; Magnoliopsida; Lamiales; Lamiaceae.